Molecule: ribosomal RNA, 1087 nt
Filed under: Vibrio sp. A11
Lineage: Bacteria; Pseudomonadati; Pseudomonadota; Gammaproteobacteria; Vibrionales; Vibrionaceae
Description: bacterial SSU rRNA
Rfam family: Bacterial small subunit ribosomal RNA
Source: RNAcentral
GUAUCGUUAAUAGCGGUAUUCUUUGACGUUAGCGACAGAAGAAGCACCGGCUAACUCCGUGCCAGCAGCCGCGGUAAUACGGAGGGUGCGAGCGUUAAUCGGAAUUACUGGGCGUAAAGCGCAUGCAGGUGGUUUGUUAAGUCAGAUGUGAAAGCCCGGGGCUCAACCUCGGAGUUGCAUUUGAAACUGGCAGGCUAGAGUACUGUAGAGGGGGGUAGAAUUUCAGGUGUAGCGGUGAAAUGCGUAGAGAUCUGAAGGAAUACCGGUGGCGAAGGCGGCCCCCUGGACAGAUACUGACACUCAGAUGCGAAAGCGUGGGGAGCAAACAGGAUUAGAUACCCUGGUAGUCCACGCUGUAAACGAUGUCUACUUGGAGGUUGUGGCCUUGAGCCGUGGCUUUCGGAGCUAACGCGUUAAGUAGACCGCCUGGGGAGUACGGUCGCAAGAUUAAAACUCAAAUGAAUUGACGGGGGCCCGCACAAGCGGUGGAGCAUGUGGUUUAAUUCGAUGCAACGCGAAGAACCUUACCUACUCUUGACAUCUACAGGAUCCUGCGGAGACGCGGGAGUGCCUUCGGGAACUGUAAGACAGGUGCUGCAUGGCUGUCGUCAGCUCGUGUUGUGAAAUGUUGGGUUAAGUCCCGCAACGAGCGCAACCCUUAUCCUUGUUUGCCAGCGAGUAAUGUCGGGAACUCCAGGGAGACUGCCGGUGAUAAACCGGAGGAAGGUGGGGACGACGUCAAGUCAUCAUGGCCCUUACGAGUAGGGCUACACACGUGCUACAAUGGCGCAUACAGAGGGCGGCGAGCUAGCGAUAGUGAGCGAAUCCCAAAAAGUGCGUCGUAGUCCGGAUUGGAGUCUGCAACUCGACUCCAUGAAGUCGGAAUCGCUAGUAAUCGUGGAUCAGAAUGCCACGGUGAAUACGUUCCCGGGCCUUGUACACACCGCCCGUCACACCAUGGGAGUGGGCUGCAAAAGAAGCAGGUAGUUUAACCUUCGGGAGGACGCUUGCCACUUUGUGGUUCAUGACUGGGGUGAAGUCGUAACAAGGUAGCGCUAGGGGAACCUGGCGCUGGAUCACCUCCUUA